Molecule: long non-coding RNA, 618 nt
Organism: Hydra vulgaris (swiftwater hydra)
Lineage: Eukaryota; Metazoa; Cnidaria; Hydrozoa; Anthoathecata; Hydridae
Source: RefSeq, a predicted model, not a curated record
UUUUUAAUUUGUUAUGGGUCUACAACACUUAAUUUCAACGAAAUUAAAUUAAAAAGUUACGUCAUAGAAGACAAGAAAAAUAUCAACAUCUGUUUUUGAUAACUUGUCUUUCAUAGCAAAUCUGAGAGGUGCAAAUGCUUAGUUUGCUUUAAGUACUACAUAAUAUAAUACAUCGUUGUACAUUUAUUUUGAUAAUAAUAAAUUUCUUUAGCAUACUCAUUUUUUAUAUUUUUAGACUGUUUACUGUUGGACUUCUGUACCAAUUUAACUUAGUGGGGACAAAAAGAAAUGACCGCGUCGGAAAUAAGAGGGGGUUGAAAGGAUCAGCCGUUUUUGAAUUAAUAGUCGGAGUCGCAGCCAGCUCGUAUAAAAAGACUUUUCUACGAGAAAUAGUUAAUUUUAUUUAGAGAAAGCUGAAGAACACCCCUGAUCAAAUCGGGGGGUUGCGUAGGCAACAACGCCAAGAACAGAGGAGAAGCUCAAGAAACAGAGGAAAAAGAUGAAGGUGAAAAUAAUGUGGAAUUUGGAGAUGAAUCUGCUGAUGACUCUUAAUUUAUUUAACUUAAUUUGACUUAAUUCUUAACUCUUAAUUUAGUUAAUAUAUUCUGCUGAACAAUA